This 466-nucleotide ribosomal RNA is filed under the name uncultured bacterium. Its description in RNAcentral is "partial 16S ribosomal RNA". It matches the Rfam family "Bacterial small subunit ribosomal RNA", at positions 28 to 507 of the family's 1533-position model. The record is from RNAcentral.
GAUGAACGCUGGCGGCGUGCUUAACACAUGCAAGUCGAACGGUAAAGCCCAGCUUGCGGGGUGGACUCGUGGCGAGCGGGUGAGUAACACGCGAGUGACCUCCGCUUAACUCUGGGGUAUACCUGGGGGAAUGGGUCUAAUACAGGGUAGGGGCGUCCACGGUACGGGGGGGGGUGGAGAGAUUUAUCGGUUUUGGGUGGACUCGCGGCGUAUCAGCUUGUUGGUGGGGUAAUGGCUCACCAAGGCGACGACGGGUAGCCGGCCUGAGAGGGUGACCGGCCACACUGGGACUGAGACACGGCCCAGACUCCUACGGGAGGCAGCAGUGGGGAAUAUUGCACAAUGGGCGCAAGCCUGAUGCAGCGACGCCGCGUGAGGGAUGACGGCCUUCGGGUUGUAAACCUCUUUCAGUAGGGAAGAAGCGAAAGUGACGGUACCUGCAGAAGAAGCACCGGCUAACUACGUG